Molecule: ribosomal RNA, 676 nt
Filed under: Vibrio parahaemolyticus
Lineage: Bacteria; Pseudomonadati; Pseudomonadota; Gammaproteobacteria; Vibrionales; Vibrionaceae
Description: partial 23S ribosomal RNA
Rfam family: Bacterial large subunit ribosomal RNA
Source: RNAcentral
AAGCUGCGGCAGCGACACUAUGUGUUGUUGGGUAGGGGAGCGUUCUGUAAGCCUGCGAAGGUGUGCUGUGAGGCAUGCUGGAGGUAUCAGAAGUGCGAAUGCUGACAUAAGUAACGAUAAAGCGGGUGAAAAGCCCGCUCGCCGGAAGACCAAGGGUUCCUGUCCAACGUUAAUCGGGGCAGGGUGAGUCGACCCCUAAGGCGAGGCCGAAAGGCGUAGUCGAUGGGAAACAGGUUAAUAUUCCUGUACUUGGUGUUACUGCGAAGGGGGGACGGAGAAGGCUAUGUUAGCCGGGCGACGGUUGUCCCGGUUUAAGCAUGUAGGCUGGUUAUCCAGGCAAAUCCGGAUAAUCAAGGCUGAGGUGUGAUGACGAGGCACUACGGUGCUGAAGUAACAAAUGCCCUGCUUCCAGGAAAAGCCUCUAAGCAUCAGGUAACAUCAAAUCGUACCCCAAACCGACACAGGUGGUCAGGUAGAGAAUACCAAGGCGCUUGAGAGAACUCGGGUGAAGGAACUAGGCAAAAUGGUGCCGUAACUUCGGGAGAAGGCACGCUGGUGUGUAGGUGAAGCCCCUGCGGGUGGAGCUGAGACCAGUCGAAGAUACCAGCUGGCUGCAACUGUUUAUUAAAAACACAGCACUGUGCAAACACGAAAGUGGACGUAUACGGUGUGACGU